Long non-coding RNA from Anolis carolinensis (green anole), 9136 nucleotides. RefSeq lists it as uncharacterized. NCBI's taxonomy places the organism in Eukaryota, Metazoa, Chordata, Lepidosauria, Squamata, Anolidae. The record is from RefSeq and is a predicted model, not a curated record. The transcript has 5 exons.
CAAAAGCAACGUUCCCAAACUCAAAACAAUAAAGCCCAACUCGUUCCAAAACAAACGCCAGCUCAGCUCUCAUAUAUAGCAGGUGCUCACGCGAAACCCCGCCCCUUAGAACGUCGCAGCCUAGCAACAAGCCCUGCCUCCCAAACACGAUCGUCGGAUUGGUCAGUAAUCUUCCAUGUGUGGGGUUUUUCCUAUCUGCCCUCAAAAAAGAUGGCGUCGGGAGCGUUUCCAGUCUCUCUUCUUUCAGUCAACCAAUCACUGUCGGAGAAAGGCAAAAUACCCCUCCCCUCCACAGCAAGGGAAGUGACGCAAUCUCCAUCCGAACUUCCUUUUCCAGCCUUUCUUGUUUUGCAUAGGUUUGGAAAGGCUCCUAAACUUUCAUGGCAAGCGUUCUUGAACAAUCUUAAUUCCCUGCAUGCAGCAAAGCGAGGGGGAUAAGAGCACAGAUGGCUUGCUUAUGACUAAAACGUCUUUGAAAAGUCUUCCAGACAGAGUGCAAGUGCACAGCAAUUGGCACCAUGAUGGGAGGCCUGAGUAAGCUUCUUAGCCAUCGGCCAAAGCGCCUGGAAGUUGUUUGGAAAGAGAUGUCAUUCCUCUCCUGCAUUGAUGGACCAACUGGAGGAUAAGAUAGAGAAACUGAAUUUGCACCAUACCUAGACAGAAGAUGGCACUGUAUUGUGAUGGCCCAUAGAAAUGUGUCAGGCUCUCCACUUGCUUUAAAUAUCUCCGUAUUCUGCUUUUGUGGCUCUGUGCAGGUUAAAAAGACUUCCAUGUCAUAGAGGUUAAAUAGUUUUAUUUUGUUGGAAUGCUGGACAACCAUUUAGAAAGGAAAUUUGGAAGAUUGUUACAUGAUAUGGGAACUGCCUCAAGAACUGUUUAUAGAGAUGAAAAGAGCAAGUUAUUCCAGUGCCCAAAAUGUCCUAUGAAGAUCUAUCAAUUUGCUGAGAUGGACAAAUGGACUUAUGCUGAUUAAGGAGAAAUCUUGAAGUAACUAAGAAAUAUUGGGUCUUGUUCAUUACCUUUUUACAACAAUGAUGGGGGCAUUUGUCAACUGUGGAAUUCAUGAAUUAUUAGAAUAUAGUCAAAAGUAGAAGUGUGAUGAUGCAAUAGUCUUGUAGUAGUAAAUAAUAGGAUGAUUCGGCAUUUUCGUCAGUCGGAUACCUUUUUCUUUUGUUUUUUAAAGGUUUUAUAUCUAGAAACUUUUAAAGAAUUUCCUAAAAAUCAGUGGAUUACCCAAAUGUUCUGAAACUUUGGAGGCUUGUAGUGGCAAAUGUGUCCUUCAAGCGUGGCUAUUUUUGUACUGAUAGGCCUAAAAAUGAUGGAAAUGAUAGACUAACAAGGUCCACCUGAAGCUUAAGCCUAAGCAAUCCAGCCAAGAUGCAUUGCUCAUUGGACAUCCCAGGCAAGAAGAAGAGCAGUAGGUGAAUGUAAGUCAAAGAUGAGGCUUGAGGUUGACAUGAAUGGUGGGACCGAAGGCACAUUUUUGAACUCAAAGCUGCAAGUUCUCUUUUCAGUUUCAGGAGGAAGUGGGUUUUUGAAACAUCUUCCAGUAUUUCUUAAUUGGAAAUCUGCAUCUCGUAAUAUUUUCUUCAGUGGGAACUCCCACAGUUGGUGAGAUAAAGUUUGGACAACCUUACAGCUUUUAAAAUGUUUGUAUGUUUGUAUAUAUAUAUAUAGUAUUAUUAUUAUUAUCAUCAUCAAUAACCAGCACCAAAAACCCAACAGCUUGUGCUACUGUUGUAAUCAUAGUGACUAUUGCCAAAUCCCUAACCCCUCCUAGGAGACUCUUAAAGUUUUUAAAUGCUGCUAAAACUCAAACUAUAAGCAAUAAGCUUAUUUCUGGAAAUGCGGGGAAGGGAUGAUAUGAAAGGGGAACUUCUGACCAGCCUGGACCGUCUCUUUCUCAAAUGUCAAGAGUAUUUAUGGGAAAGGAUUGUUGCUUGUUGCAAGAAGGGUUGCAGGUUAGGAAACAACUGAUUGCAUUGCACAGACAGAGCAAGUCUGGGUUUUAGUCUGAACUUGAAAUUUAGUAUCACUGGAAACAUCUUUAAAGUUUACACUAAAACUAGGAAUGGAUUCAUUACCCCACUACCCUGUUUCCCCUAAAAUAAGACAUCCCCAGAAAAUAAGACCUAGUAGAGGAUUUGCUGAAUUGCUAAAUAUAAGGCCUCCCCCGAAAGUAAGACCUAGCAAAGGUUUUGUUUGGAAGCAUGCAGGAUCGGUAAAUGUACAUACCAUGGAUUGUUGGAAAUAAAGGUAGUAUCAAGAAAUAAUAAUAAUAAUGAUAAUAACUUUAUUCUUGUAUUCCACCUCCAUCUCCCAGAAGGGACUCAGGGCAGCUUACACAGGGACAAGCCCAACAACAAUAUAAAUUUACAUGCGAACAGAAAUUAAAAACAGUAUAGCAAUAAAAUAUAAUAUAGAAAUGCUUUUUUGUAAUAGUUUUUAUUUAUUUCAUGUGAAUAUAGUACAUUGAAAGUGGGAGAACAAAUAAUAACUUAAGAGAUAGUAGAAAGUAGCUUGGAGAGAGAGAAAGAAUAAAAUAUAAUAUAGAAAUUCUUGAAAGGAUUCACAGUUUGGUUAUGCUGGUUUGUGAUGACAACUACUGUACAGUAGAUAAUACAUUUUCUUUUUCUUUUUUUUAAAUUCAACCAUAAAUGUGAAUUCUUCUUUGUGGAAAAAUAAGACAUCCCCUGAAAAUAAGACCUAAAGCAUCUUUGGGAGCAAAAAUUAAUAUAAGACAUUGUCUUAUUUUCGGGGAAACAGGGUAAUAUGGGAGCCAUCAGCUCCUAGUCAUAGAAUUGUAGAGUUGGAAGAGACUUCACGGGCCAUCCAGUCUAACCCCCUGCAAGAAGCAGGAAAAUCACAUUCAAAGCACCCCCGACAGAUGGCCAUCCAGCCUCUGCUUAAAAGCCUCCAAAGAAGGAGCCUCCACCACACACCGAGGCAGAGAGUUCCACUGCUGUACAGCUCUUGGAGUGAGGAAGUUCUCCCUAAUGUUCAGGUGGAAUCUCCUGUAGUUUUGAAGGCAUUGUUCAAUGUCCUAGUUUCCAAGGCACCAGAAAACAAGCUUGCUCCCUCCUCCCUAUGACUUCCCCUCACAUAUUUACACAUUGCUAUCAUGUCUCCUCUCAGCCUUCUUUUCUGCAGGCAAAAUAUACCCAGCUCUUUAAGCCAUUCCUCAUAGUGCUUGUUCUCCAGAUCCUUGAUCAUUUUAGUCGCCAAACUCUGAACACAUUCCAGCCUUUAGACAACUCCCUUCAAUUGCAGUGCCCAGAAUUGGACACAGUGUGAUUCCAGGUGUGGUCUGACCAAGACAAUAGAGGGCAGCAUGAUUUCCCUUUCUGCCAACCUAGCAGUUCAAAAACAUGCAAAUGUGAGUAGAUCAAUAGGUACUGCUCCAGUGGGAAGGUAACGGCCCUCCAUACAUGACUUUGGAUGUGUCAAUGGACAACAUCGGCUCUUUAGCUUAGAAAUGGAGAUGAGCACCAACCCCCAGAGUUGGACUUAAUGUCAGGGGAAAACCUUUAUAUGACUUCCCUGGAUCUAGACACUACUCCUAUUUAUGCAGACCAAAAUCCCAUUGGCUUUUUUGCUGCCGCAUCACAUCGUUGGCUCAUGUUCACCUUCCUCCUCACGAGGCCUCCAAGGUCUUUUUCACACAUCCUGCUGUCGAGCCAGGUGUCCCCCAUUCUGUAUCUUUGCAUUUCAUUUUUUCUGCCUAAGUAGAGUAUCUUGCAUUUGUCCCUGUUGAACUUCAUUGUGUUCGUUUUGGCCAAUCAUCUCUCUAAUCCGUUAAGAUUGUUUUGAAUUCUGCUCCUGUCUUCUGGAGUAUUGGCUGUCCCUCCCAAUUUGGUGUCGUCUGCAAACUUGAUUAUCUAAGUCAUUAAUCAAGAUGUUGAACAGAACUGGGCCCAGGACGGAACCCUGCUUCUGGCUCUCCACUCAUGACUUCUUUCCAGGAUGAAGACGAAACAUUGGUGAGCACCCUUUGGGUUCGUUCGCUUAGCCAAUUACAAAUCCACCUAACCGUAGUUUUGCCAAGACCACAUUUGUCUAGUUUGUUUGCCAGAAGGUCAUGGGGGAGCUUGUCAAAAAAAGGCCUUCCUGAAAUCCAAACACACUACAUCCACAGCGUUCCCUGCAUCUACCCAGCUUGUACCCAAAAGAAGAGAUCAGAUUAGUCUGGCAUGACUUGUUUUUCAUAAAACCGUGUUGAUUGUUAGCAAUGACCGAAUUCAUUUCUAAGUGUUUGCAGACCACUUCUUUAACCAUCUUUUCCAGAAUCUUGCCUAGUGUUGAAAAGCAAAUCUUCUGAAGUGACAUCUUCAGCCAUUUUUGCUCCUGGUUGUUGAAAACUCUCUUUUGAGAUGUCCUUGGCAUCAAUUCUGCCUUCAUUUCAGCACCAAGAUAAAAUGUUGACCACAAUUCUAUGUCACAGUCCACAUCAUUGGAAAAGUCUGUGAAAUAGCCAAAGGUCUUUACCAUGGAAUAAAACAUGAACAAUAUUAAAAUUACAUUAUUAAAAAUACUAGGCAUAACUUUAAAACCAUACCCUGAGAUCCCUGUAAAACUAACAAAGAAUGUAAAAUUUAAGUGCAAUAUUAAACGAGGACGAAGCUGCCAAUGCAAACUGGGAUACCGAGAAUAUUACAAAUAGCUAUAUAUCAGCUAACAAAUUUGUUAUGGAUUGAAUAUCCCUAAUCUGGAAAUCCACAAUUGUCCACAUGGGUAGCCGAGACAGUGAUGCCUUUGAUUCUUGGUGGUUCCAUGUACACAAACUUUGUUUCACGCACAAAAUUCUCUAAAAUAUUGCAUAAAAAAUGACCUUCAGACUAUGUGUGUAAGUUAUAUUUGAAAUAUACAUGGAUUUUCUGUUUAAAUUUGAGUCUCAUCUCUAAUAUAACUCAUUCUGUAGCUGCAAGGAUUCCAAAAUUGGGGUGGAGGGGAUACCAAACACUUCUGGCUCCUAACAUUUUGGAUAAGGGAUGCUCAAUCUUGUACUACUUUUUGGGAUGUGUAGUCUAUAUAUUUAUUUAUUUACAGCAUUUAUAUUCUGCCCUUCUCACCCCGAAGGGGACUCAGGGUGGGUCACAUUACACAUAUAGGCAAACAUUCAAUGCCUUUUAACAUAGAACAAAGACAAGACAAACAUAGGCUCCGAGCAGGCCUCGAACUUAUGACCUCCUGGUCAGAGUGAUUCAUUGCAGCUGCUCUCCAGCCUGCGCCACAGCCCGAGCCCAACUGAAUAUAUAACUGAAUCCCAUGGAAAAAUUUUUUUUUCUUGGCGCAGAAUGCAGGGAACUAGGAUUGCAGACUUAAAGUUGUCACGUUUUCCAUGGCAGGUCUUCAUCACAUCUCUCAUGAUGGAAAGCAGGCAAGAGAUGGAGGCUGAAAUAAAUCCUAAGCAGAGGGUUUGAAUGCCCCACUUUCCUGGCCACUCUCAUCUUGACAGUUGUCUCAUCUUGGAGUUGUCUUGCUCCGCUCUUUUCUCAGAAAAAGGAAAAGAAGGAAGAAACCAGUGAUAAUCUUGCUCAGGAAAAGUCCAACCCAGAGGCCAAAAGCGGAGGAGACAGAGUACACCAGUUGAUCUGUUGGGGAAACACAGUGUAUCAGCUAAUGAACUUCAUACAUUCGAAUUAUUUAUCAGGUUAACUUGCACUGCCCACAAUAUUCAUAAGCAAUGGCAAUGUGUUUAAAUUCCAAGUGUUACUGUAGACAAGUGUCCCUAUUCCUCCUCCUUCUCAUUCUUAUGAUUUUUGACUUUUGAGGGUUUGAUUUUUCAUGGAUUUGAUUGAAACUAUUCUCUCUAAGAAUCUCCCAGUUUUCCAGUGUGGUCCUAUGGUCAACUUCAUCAUGCCGAAAGACUUAGGCAGGAUGUACACUGCCAUAUAAUGCAGUUUAACUGCAUUGAACUGAAUUAUAUGGGUCUACAUUUCCAUAUACAGUGUUCCCUCACUACUUCGCGGUUCGCUUUUAGUGGACUCACUGUUUUGUGGUUUUUCAAUAAACUCUAAAAGAAUAUUAUAAAUCAUUAAAAAAAUUACGAUUUACAGCUGAAGGGAGGAAGGAGAAGCCGAAGGUAGAGAAAAUUAUUAUUAUAUUGUAUGACACAGCAAACAAGAUAGACAUGCUGGAUUUCAUAUCACAAAAUCACAAGUCGAACACUUCCCAAACAUUUAGGACUGUGUGAUGUAUUUUCGAAUGAUGCGUGCAGAUCCCAGUAGGGUGGCCUUUUGCAGUUGGCAGAUCGUAAUUUUGUCAAUGUCUAUUGUUUCCAAAUGCCGGCUGAGAUCUUUUGGCACGGCACCCAGUGUGCCCAUCACCACCGGGACCACCUGCACUGGUUUCUGCCAGAGUCUUUAUUAUUAUUGUUAUUAUUAUUAUUAUUAUCUGCAUUUCUAUACCGCUUUUCUCAAAGCGGUUUACAACAUAAUAAAUGGCAAAAUUCAAUGCCUCACAUCUAUAUAAAAAUAUAUCACAUAUCUAAAUCAAAAACAUACAGCUGUAGAUUAAAACUAUUAAAACUAUAAAAACAUCAAACAUGGACUAAUGCAUGAAACAUGUCAUUACAGAAAAGGAGCCCAAGUGGCAACAGGAGGAGAAGGAGGUGAUUUAUCAACACAUGAUUGGUUGAUAAAGACUUAAAAUAAUGUAUAACUACUAAAAUAAUGUAUAAAUAUUAAAAUGAAUAUAGUAUCCCUACUUCGCGGAUUUUCACUUAUUGCAGGUGAUCCUGGAACCUAACCCCCGCAAUAAGUGAGGGAAGACUGUAAUCCAGUUCAAUGCAGUAUAGUUAUAUUCACUAUAUGCAUAACCAAGGCAAAGAUAAAACAGUUGACUUGGCUAGAGGAGAGAAAGUAUGAACCCCAAUGAAAUCAAAACCAUAUGUGUCAAUCCACUUAUUCACCUUCAAGACCAUUGGCUUUGUCAUUUCUUCCAGAGUAUGGCUGUAUGAUCAAUGUUCCUGUUUGGUUGAUUGGAGGCUGAGAAUUAUGUCUGACCUGGCAAGUAAAUAUAGACAUAUUCUUCUCUUCAGUGGCCCUCACCACCAGAGAAUUCUUGAUCAUGGGUUCAUCAGUUCCCAUUUUACUCUUAUUAUUCAUAAACCAGACCACUUUGAUGUCAUUUGGAUAAAAAUUAUCCAUGUUGCAGGUGAGGGUCACUGUUUCAUUCAGGUGGGCAGGACAAGGCGGGUCACUUUCCACUUUUGUACAGGUGGGACUGUACAAAAAAAGCCAAAGAAAUCAGUGUCAAUACCUUACAAUGCAUCUAGAGCAGGCAUGGGCAAACAUGGGCCCUCCAGAUGUUUUGGACUUCAACUCCCACAAUUCCUAACAGCCUACCAGCUGCUAGGAAUUGUGGGAGUUGAAGUCCAAAACACCUGGAGAGCCCGAGUUUGCUUCUGCCUGGUCUAGAGAGAUCUCUUUUUUAUUCUAAGCAGAGCUGGACACUACUAUAAUUGGGAAAAGUUCAGGGGCUCCUUUCUCCCUCAGUUUUAUGACUAUUAGGGUGAAAUUCACUACAGUUGUAGAACACGUUUACUCCUGUCAGCCCACCAAGUUUUAGAACGUUUCACAUAUACAUGGAUUUUUUUGGGGGGAAUUUUCAAAGUUUUUAUAAACAAUCUUUUUUAGGGUUGUUGUAUGUUUUCCGAGCUGUAUGGCCAUGUUCUAGAAGUAUUCUCUCCUGACGUUUCACCCACAUCUAUGGCAGGCAUCCUCAGAGGUUGUGAGGUAUGGAGAAACUAAGGAAGGUUUAUUUAUAUCCAGGGUGAGGGAAGAACUCUUGUCAGUUGGAGGCCAGCGCGAAUGUUGUAGUUAAUCACCCUAAUUAGCAUUGAAUGGCUACAUCUACUGGCUACUUUCUGCUUGGGAGCAUUCUUUGUUAACUGCCCUAGUUCCCAUGUCUCAGAGUGUUGCUUCUUAUUUACUGUUCUGAUUUUUGAGUUUUUUUAAUACUGGUAGCCAGAUUUUGUUCAUUUUCAUGGUUUCCUCCUUUCUGUUGAAGUUGUCCACAUGUUUGUGAAUUUCAAUGGCUUCUCUGUGUAGAACAAGAGUACUCUCCCUCCACCCUGGACUUCCCACAGACAUAUAUAAACCUUCCUUGCUUAGUUUCUCCAUACCUCACAACCUCUGAGGAUGCCUGCCAUAGAAGUGGGCGAAACAUCAGGAGAGAAUACUUCUAGAAAAUGACCAUACAGCCUGGAAAAGAUACAACAACCCUGUGAUCCCAGCCAUGAAAGCCUUCGACAACACAUCAAUCUUUUUUAAAUAAAGAAAAUAUGUUCCUAGUUUGAAAGGGCUGAAAAACCCAGCUUAUACUCAAGUAUAUACGGUAUAUGUUUUGUUUUAUCCUACCCUGUUUCCCCUAAAAUAAGACAUCCCCUGAAAAUAAGACCUAGUAGAGGUUUUGCUGAGUUGCUAAAUAUAAGGCCUCCCCUGAAAGUAAGACCUAGCAAAGUUUUUGUUUGGAAGCAUGCCAACAGAACAUCAGAGUAUGCAGGAUUGAUAAAUGUACGUACCAUAGAUAGUUGUACAUGGAAAUAAUGGUAGUAAUGAGAAAUUCUGGAUAGGAUUCACAGUUUGUCUGGUUAUGCUGGUUUGUGAUGACAGCCACUGUACAGUAUAUAAUAAAUGUUCAUUUUUUGUUCAAUAGUUAAUGUGAAUUCUUCUUCAUGGAAAAAUAAGACACCCCCUGAAAAUAAGACCUAGAGCAUCUUUGGGAGCAAAAAUUAAUAUAAGACACUGUCUUAUUUUCGGGGAAACACGUAAUAGGUCCCAGCAUCCUCAGGUCGAACGUUACUGAUGGUGAUGGAGAAGUCUGUGGGGGACUCAGGAACAAGCCUUGUCACUCGAGGAGAGGCAUCUUUUUGGUUGUAAAUGGCCGGUUGGUUUCUGUCGGGACCCCGGUACCAACGGACUCCUUCUAGCCUUCCGCUCCCUCUCAGGAUGCAGUACAGAGUUAACUCUCCUCCUGUGGACACCGACAAGGUCUCUGGCACCUGAAUAAUCUCUGCAACACCUGCAACAAAGUACAUGGCAUGGCAUUGUCUUUCCUAUUCUCUGAAGCAGAACAUCUUAAACAUUUUCCACUUGCGACCUCUUUCCACCCAAUAAAUAUUUUCAUGACCCCC